GGGUCAUUUUCACCUGCUCCUGUGCACCCACCUGGCUUCCCAGGGCCACUGCAGCUCCUGAACAACUGAAUAAGCUAUCAUUGCAGCUUGAUCACCAGGAUGCAGAGGUGACCAAAGGGUCAAAGGAACAGAAGCUGGGCCAUUGCAGACAUGGGUAAUCCUCAAAUAGAAAAAUCCACUCCCAGAUCGUCUGGAGCCAAAUGGAGACCUGCUGUGCUUGGGGAAUCACUGACUGGGUUGCGAUUUGAAAUGUGUAAUCAUCAGAUACACUGAAAGCCAAACCUCACACAGAAACCUUUCAGUUAGCCAUAUGUUUGGGACACCUUUGGUGUUUCCUAAUGCCCCAGAACUGGGAAGCAGAAGAUCCACAAGAGAAAAGAAGAGCUCUCGGAACAGAGAAUGCAAGGAGAUUGGAAGAGAGCCCCUUUUGUUUGUGUGUACGGGAUCAAAGCUGGAAGCUUUUCAACAGACAGGACAGAGCAUCACCUACCACAACAACUAAGCCCACUAUCCAGUGUUAGACCCAUCUACAAAUACUGAAGUCGAGAUAUUCUAAAGUAUGGAAAAUGAUACUUGCAGUUAUCAAUAGAUACAAAACUUUCAUUUUCUGAUUCGUAAAAUCUGAAAAUAUAAUCAUUUAUGUCUUCACACAUCCUUGGAGAUUUAUACACUGCAUUAAAAUUUUGUAUUCAGUGUACCUCAAAAUCCUCAAGAAGAGGGGAAAAAUGACAAUAAAGCAAAGCUCACGUGCCAAGAAUAAUUCUUACUCUGUUUCAAAGACUUUUUGAACAAGUGGAAUAUGAACAUGACAAUCUUGAAGAUGAUUCCAGGAACUCUGCAUCCAAAUUUUCAAAUAUACAUCAUGACACCAAAGAAGAUUAGGACACACUAGAAAGCAUUUCUUUCAAACCAAACCUAUAGUUCACUAUCUAGCCCUGCCAAGAAGCAGAAAGUUUUUUCCAAAAGAUUUCUCAGUGUUAUCAAAUAAGAGAUGGGGUUACUUAAAGAUGAAGACAGCAGAAGAAACUAUAUGGAGUUAGUUCGUAAAUAUCUCUUCACAUUCCUUACGCUGGUAUAGACUCAGAAAAAGUUU
Molecule: long non-coding RNA, 1093 nt
Filed under: Callithrix jacchus (white-tufted-ear marmoset)
Lineage: Eukaryota; Metazoa; Chordata; Mammalia; Primates; Cebidae
Description: lncRNA (ENSCJAG00000071044.1)
Source: RNAcentral